AUUGAACGCUGGCGGCAGGCCUAACACAUGCCAGUCGAACGGUAACAGGAAGAAGCUUGCUUCUUUGCUGACGAGUGGCGGACGGGAGAGGAAUGUCUGGGAAACUGCCUGAUGGAGGGGGAUAACUACUGGAAACGGUAGCUAAUACCGCAUAACGUCGCAAGACCAAAAAGGGGGACCUUCUGGCCUCUUGCCAUCGGAUGUGCCCAGAUGGGAUUAGCUAGUAGGUGGGGUAACGGCUCACCUAGGCGACGAUACCUAGCUGGUCUGAGAGGAUGACCAGCCACACUGGAACUGAGACACGGUCCAGACUCCUACGGGAGGCAGCAGUGGGGAAUAUUGAACAAUGGGCGCAAGCCUGAUGCAGCCAUGCCGCGUGUAUGAAGAAGGCCUUCGGGUUGUAAAGUACUUUCAGCGGGGAGGAAGGGAGUAAAGUUAAUACCUUUGCUCAUUGACGUUACCCGCAGAAGAAGCACCGGCUAACUCCGUG
RNAcentral lists this ribosomal RNA (490 nucleotides) under uncultured bacterium. RNAcentral's name for it is "partial 16S ribosomal RNA". It matches the Rfam family "Bacterial small subunit ribosomal RNA", at positions 30 to 507 of the family's 1533-position model. The record is from RNAcentral.